RNAcentral lists this long non-coding RNA (299 nucleotides) under Phaseolus vulgaris (common bean). Its description in RNAcentral is "long non-coding RNA (PVUL_LNC004534)". The record is from RNAcentral. Lineage: Eukaryota; Viridiplantae; Streptophyta; Magnoliopsida; Fabales; Fabaceae.
GAGAAUACGGAACAGAGGUGGGCGCAGGAUAAGCACGUGGGAGUUGCCUUUAGGAUUGCACGCUGCCAAUGGCAUGUCUCCAUAGUUGCAGAAGAAAAAAAAAAUAAGGCCUCCAACAUCAUAUUCUUCUUAGAAAUAACAAAGCAAGAUUUUCUGCAAAUAAAAAUUCCCUGCUUUUCCUUAUACGGUUCGAAGUUUUCGAUGAAUGAUUGGCAGUUUCUGUAUUGGGAGAGUAUCCACAUGCCCCUCUAACUAGCUCUCCUUUUCUGUGCUCUCAACCGUUCCUUAUUUUAUUUGUG